CGAUAAAGGUGACGACACGUCAUCCGCUCAUUGGAAUAACAAUACCCCGCGCUGUAAAACACGCUAUGCGUUCUCGUUUCCACCGUUCUCGCGCGCUUUUCUUCGCCGUACCGGCAAUUGGCCGAACUCAACCUGUCUGACAUGACCUCCCUGCGCUAUUCUCGACGGGACCUGUCGAUGACUAUCGCGCCUAUACACAAUGAAUCCGCCAUUUUUGCGACAGUCCCCGCUCUUGGCAUUCGCGAAAGAUCUGCUCGCGAUACUCGGCCAUCGAAUCGUUGCGAAUCGCCGAUCCCUUCCCAUGCCGUGCGAAGCAAGAGUCCAAAACGCGGUGGAGUAAUGAACAGUUCCUUAUUACGAAACAUGAGGAACUACGCGCUGGUACACGCGAUGGUGCUCCUCGCGAUCGAAGGCAUGCUGCUGUGCGGUUUUAUCGUCACGUUCCAAUACGCGCCGGAGGUGAGCGCGACUAACAGGGCCAAUAUCUACGCGUUCAGUCUCAACGGGCAUUCGAGCGGAUCGCCGAUCACGUAUGCACCACUGUAUCAAGAUGUCCACGUGAUGAUCUGGGUCGGCUUCGGCUUCCUCAUGACGUUCCUCAAGCGUUACGGCCAGAGCGCGGCCGGCUUGACCUUCCUCGUCGGCGCCGUGCUCGUCCAGGUGGCUCUAAUCUGCAACGGCGUGACGAACACGUUGACGGGCGCCAAGGCUUAUCUCUCGUUGAAAAGCCUGCUCGAUGCGGACGUCGCCGUCGCCGCGCCGCUCAUCUCCAUGGGAGCGCUCUUGGGCAAGACGACCUACAUGCAGCUGAUAUUUAUGGGGAUCGCCGAACUGAUCAUGUUCAACGUCAACAAAUUCGUGGGCGAGCAUAUGUUCAUGGUGGUCGACGCCGGUGACAGUAUGUUCGUGCACGUGUUCGGCGCGUACUUCGGCCUGGCGGUCAGCUACGUGUUCGGAACGAAGAAGGAGCCGAAGGAGCACGAGCUCGAGGGUGCAUCCUACCAGUCGGACAUAUUCGCCAUGAUCGGUACGCUGUUCUUAUGGCUGUUUUGGCCGUCAUUCAACAGCGCGGGCUUGACGGGCGACGAUCAACAGCGCGCGAUAAUCAACACCUUGCUGUCGAUAUCCGCCAGCUGCGUGACCGCAUUCGCCGUGUCCGCGUUGGUCUCCAACAGCAAGUUCAACAUGGUGCACGUGCAAAACUCGACCCUUGCCGGCGGCGUCGCCAUUGGCACUGCCGCAGGUAUGAUGUGUGGAGGCAUAGGAGCUUUGGCCGUCGGCGCUUUGUCCGGGAUAAUCAGCGUGCUGGGAUAUAAAUACCUCACGCCGAUCAUACAGAAGCACCUGCGGAUCCACGAUACUUGCGGGGUGCACAACUUGCACGGGAUGCCUGGCGUGCUGGCUGGAGUUUUCGGCGCGCUUAUGGCGGUCAUUGCGACCGAAGCCGUUUACGAUUAUUCCCUGUACGACAUCUUCCCAGCGCGGGCGCCCAGCUCAGGGCAGAAAUUCGCCGAGCUGCGGGACAAUAUGUACGACGUAUCGCCGGGAUACGAUCGGACGGCGUAUCAGCAAGCGGGAUUUCAAUUACUGGCGCUGGUGGUCACCCUGGGAAUCUCCAUCGUUUCCGGAUUAAUAACAGGCCACCUUAUGCACGUGUCGGUCUGCGGCUCGAUUUUGGAGGAAGAGAAAUUCGAUGAUAAAGCGGUCUGGGAUCUGGAAGAAGAGACAUUUGCGUCCGGUAACAAUCGCGUGGACACCCAAAUACCGAUGGGCCAUAUGUAAUCACUGACACACGUCUCACGCAAAUUAUCCGGGUACGUCGAUGAAUCUUACCGUUAUUAAGCGGUCCGCCGACGAUCUCUCCACGCGUUGAAAUAAGGUGACGCUUGUGUCCUAAGCUCGCUGCCCGAUGCGUCGGCGCAAGCGUCUUCUUCGGGAUA
This is an RNA transcript of Harpegnathos saltator (Jerdon's jumping ant), 1940 nucleotides long. It is a transcript of the gene named Rhesus blood group-associated glycoprotein Rh50, with no coding region annotated. Lineage: Eukaryota; Metazoa; Arthropoda; Insecta; Hymenoptera; Formicidae. The record is from RefSeq and is a predicted model, not a curated record. The transcript is spliced from 10 exons.